This is an RNA transcript of Paramacrobiotus metropolitanus, 2480 nucleotides long. RefSeq lists it as uncharacterized. NCBI's taxonomy places the organism in Eukaryota, Metazoa, Tardigrada, Eutardigrada, Parachela, Macrobiotidae. The transcript has 6 exons. The record is from RefSeq and is a predicted model, not a curated record.
GCAUGUGUACGCGCACACUUACUCGGGGGAAAAGAACUACAGUCAAAGUUUUAACGUUGUUUUUUUACCUGAUAUCUAUCAUCCAUUGAAUUAGUACAAUAAUUGUUUUCUUAUUCUGUGUGCUGACUGACUAUGCAAAAUGCCGGAACUAGAAAAACCGUGUUUAUCGUCUCCAUAUACGAAAUUCAUGGUAGAUGUUAUAAGUGAUGAUGGCACCAGCUACCGAGGCUACGUGUGUGGAUCGGCAGGAAACGGUCUUUAUAUUAGCAAUAGCCAAACCGAAGAAGCAACAGUGGUCCCAUUUGAACAAUUACGGGAAGUAGAUGAGUUUUCAGACCGCUCCCAUACAGAUCAGGAAAUAAAAGAAGGAGAAGUUGAUGUUCUUUUGAAAACGGAUGAAAAUUAACGGGAAUCAUGGUGGCCAGGGUGUAUUAAAAGCUACACAGCGAAAGACGCCGCGCUCUUCAAUUUUACGGAAGUUGAAGUCGCAUUGCCAACAACUACACGACGUUACGUCAUGAUGCAGUAUCAGGGUUGUUACAGAACACGGACAAUCCGUCCUCGUGGUUACCUGGGGAAAAAUGUGACGCCGGAAACCUUCCCUGUAAUGCGAAUUCCCUUGCCAGUGUCGGAGCCAUGGUGUCGGGACGUUUCAGUUGGGUUGAAAUGGCUGAGCCGUAUCGCAGCGUUUUACACCCACUGGUACUGCCAAACAAAUACGAUCUUUCUCCAUUCCGAUGAUCAGUUUAUUGAAGUUCUAAGCAGUCACCGGAAUUAUGACUCACCGCGUACUCUUUCUGAGGCCUUUAAAGCGUCCCUUUUGCCAGGGAUAUUGAACUACUUCCAGAAAUUUGAUGAGCGCGUUCACGUGGUGACAGACAACCUAAUUUGCCACUUGGUUAAUGCUGUUACGGAAGCAGAAGUUCCGUUGAACUCGUGCGAGUAUCGCAUAGAUGAAUUACCUUGGGAUGUGCAGCUGACGGUGUUUUCUUUUCUGGAUGCGUAUGACCAAGGGCGUUUCAAGAGGUUAUCAAGUCACUUUCGGCAUCUGUCGUCGGCAGCUAUUCUCCAAGAGUGCAUUGUACUGCCAAAGUAUUCCAGUAAUGUUAUUCUUGAUGAAGGAUUUCGCCUGAAUGACUUGAGUUCCACAUUUACAAAAAUAAUCAUUUCAAUCCUAUCGAGAAAUACGAAGGUCGUAUAUCUCACUGGAAGUUGGGAGGAAAUCUUGGAGCCAUUGUCAGAUAUCCUGCAGAUUUUAGAGUUGAAGCUGAACUGGCUUGUGGUUGCUGACAAUUAUACGCUGCAGCUUGGUGAGUUUAUGACCUUCCCUCCGGUUAGUCACAUGCUGAGGAAAAACCACGAAAAAGCAUAUAAGACAACAUGGAUGCCUACACCAGCUUACGCUGACAUGUGCCAUAACGUUCUCCUGAAAAACUGCAUUUUCAAGAGCAACAAGUCACUGUGCUUCAGAUACGCAUGUUCUCACUUUACUCCAACCGUGGACUUCGGAUUACUGAAUUGUUGCACCGAUCCAUUCGAAAUUUCAAUUUCUCUGUGGUCUUACCGAUUUGAACGAUCGUGGGCCACAUCGGGAAAUCGUUUCCACGACGAAUAUAAUCUUCUGCUCUGGAAACUAUGUCCCCAGUUAGAUGACAACAAAUUUCAAAAGCUUUUGGAGUGGUUGGACUACCUUAAAACACAACCGGAAAAUCUUGGAUUUUUUAUAUGGACGUUUAUCGAGCUCGUUUUUACAAUGUGGCGCGUCGAAGCUCCAAAGGAUAUCGCAGAAGUUUUUGAUAUCGUUUCAAACCCAAAAAUACAGCACUGUCCGUUGACCCACACCCUUUAUCUCUUGGUACCAAUCCAACCGUUUGCGUGACAAUGGAAUUUUGGGAUACAAGCAGCAACUGGAAGUGCUCGUGUGCGAAUGGUUCUUUUUCACGCUCUUCGCUACGGAGUGGGGAUCGACUAGCGGAUUUCGAUCGACGCGGAACUGAACUCCUCUUGCCAGAAGCGUCAGUCAGGUGCGGAUCAAACAACAGCUGAAAUGAAACGAGAAGCUACCCUCACCCACCAUCUGGCUUCGAUCUGCACUCAAAGUGUCUAUGACGUUGUGAUCGCGGGUCGCUAAUGCGCAUCUGCAACAGACAAAUGAUGAAGCCAAUAUUUCGAUGAUAUGCAUCGAUGUACAUACGAGUACAGUACUCUUAUUUCCGAAACGCUUUAUGCCUUAUACUACCGUACGCACCGUUCAGCAGCAAAGUGAAUGACGUGUUCCUCCUCAGAUAGCGUGUCUCGUUGCAGAAUGGUUUGGAAAUGUACCCAACAGGAUGUUAGUGGAUUCCUGCGACCGCAGUUCAACUAAAACGUCAGCAUCAAUCACUACAAUACACUAGCGCUGGUCCAGUGGAUCGUGGAUCAGAUGUAUAAUUAUGCCAGCAAGCCAACAGCCCGCAUGACAAAGAAAGCCAUUUUUCACG